RNAcentral lists this ribosomal RNA (239 nucleotides) under uncultured bacterium. RNAcentral's name for it is "partial 16S ribosomal RNA". It matches the Rfam family "Bacterial small subunit ribosomal RNA", at positions 118 to 351 of the family's 1533-position model. The record is from RNAcentral.
UGAGUAACCUGCCCUUAACUCUGGGAUAAGCCUGGGAAACUGGGUCUAAUACCGGAUAUGACUCCUCAUCGCAUGGUGGGGGGUGGAAAGCUUUAUUGUGGUUUUGGAUGGACUCGCGGCCUAUCAGCUUGUUGGUGAGGUAAUGGCUCACCAAGGCGACGACGGGUAGCCGGCCUGAGAGGGUGACCGGCCACACGUGGGACUGAGACACCGGCCCAGACCUCCGUACGGGGAGGCAG